This is a non-coding RNA of Pelobates cultripes (western spadefoot toad), 202 nucleotides long. Lineage: Eukaryota; Metazoa; Chordata; Amphibia; Anura; Pelobatidae. The record is from the annotation of a GenBank genome assembly.
CCAGUAUAAUAGCAAACAAUGCAAAAAAAAGGUAGAUAAACAACAGUAGCAUUAUCUCUCCCACUACCACCACCAGGCAGAGUAAGUGGGAUAUUGAUUAUAGUGUCAACAGUCAACAGAGGCAAUGUGUACAGGGACAGCAACCCACUCUGGAAAAAUUUGUUGGCUUUCAUGGGCCAUGAUAAAACAGUAUUUUAAAAAA